RNAcentral lists this ribosomal RNA (501 nucleotides) under uncultured bacterium. RNAcentral describes it as "bacterial SSU rRNA". It matches the Rfam family "Bacterial small subunit ribosomal RNA", at positions 28 to 524 of the family's 1533-position model. The record is from RNAcentral.
GAUGAACGCUAGCGGCAGGCCUAAUACAUGCAAGUCGAGGGGCAGCGGGAAUAGCAAUAUUUGCCGGCGACCGGCGCACGGGUGCGUAACACGUAUACAAUCUGCCCAUAUCAGGGGGAUAGCCCGGAGAAAUCCGGAUUAAUACCCCAUAAUAGUCGAGGAGGCAUCUUCUUGAUUUGAAAGCUACGGCGGAUAUGGAUGAGUAUGCGUCUGAUUAGUUAGUUGGUGAGGUAACGGCUCACCAAGACCACGAUCAGUAGGGGAUCUGAGAGGAUUAACCCCCACACGGAUACUGAGACACGGAUCCGACUCCUACGGGAGGCAGCAGUAAGGAAUAUUGGACAAUGCCCGCAAGGGUGAUCCAGCCAUGCCGCGUGCAGGAAGAAGGCCCUAUGGGUCGUAAACUGCUUUUACACCGGAGAAAACCCCCUUACGUGUAAGGGGCUGAUAGUAUGGUGAGAAUAAGCAAUCGGCUAACUUCGUGCCAGCAGCCGCGGUAAU